UAGAAAACUCCAGAAUAAUUGUCACCUCAC
This 30-nucleotide non-coding RNA is filed under the name Mus musculus (house mouse). Lineage: Eukaryota; Metazoa; Chordata; Mammalia; Rodentia; Muridae. The record is from RNAcentral.